CACUCUGGCGCCUGCUGCCCGGGCGGCCGGGACUGAGGCGCUUCGCACGCGCCCUCGGCGACUGGCGAGUUUGGGACGUUGGUGGAUACGUGCAUCUGUCCGGAGAGAACUGCCAGAUCCGCGGCCCCGCGAUGGUUCUGGCCCCACUGCUACUGGGGCUGCUGCUGCUACCCGCGCUCUGGAGUGGAGGUGAGUGCAGGUUGCAGGGUCUCCGGGAGCUGCUACUCAUUCCAGCGAGCCGUAGAGGGUUAUGGGGGCUCCCUAGCCGGGUCUUGGGGUGCACGUCUUAGUAGAACCGAUGGGAACCGAGAGCUUCCCAUUACCACAGAGAAAGACCUCAAGCCCGGUUGGGCGCUCUGGGAGCAGCGAAGUUUGAGCCUUUAAGAAAUGCAACUCAGGUCUGGCGUGGCAUGCACCAAGAACUUUACCCUCAACACUGUCUAGCCUUGCCGAGCUUUGGCGGGGUUUCUGCGAAUCAUAGACCGAGGAUUCCAAGGUAAUUCCACGCCGUGAACCAAUAAGUAGCUGCAAAAGUUGGAUGUCACCGUUAGCGCGUGGCGUUGCUUGGAGGCUAGGUGUCCCGCCAGGGAAAGACUAGUUCUGGCUUCUCCCCUGGGCUCUGCUGAACAUUGUGUUAGCCCUCCUUUGUAGGGACAGCCUGUCUGUGAGUGUAAGAAGCCUGCAAAAAGCCGAGGGGGACGAUACGGUCCUUUCACUAUUAUUACUGUGGAGCGGAAUCUUUUUUGUUUGGGUAGCACAAACAAGUGCUCAGACCACAAGUGCUCUCACAAGCGGUUCAAUUUGACAUGCUGGAUUGAUUAGCGCAAACAAGUAUGGCAGGUUCCUCCAACAGAUGACACUGAGGCACUUUGUAAAGAAGCUGCUGGGGGGAAAACAAAACAAGGUUUUUCCAAAAAGAAAUAGACGCAGGAGGGGUUGGAAGACUACUAUAAGCAAGCACAUUUCAGGUAUUGUUCCUUCAGGUAUUGCUCCUGCCCUAAAAGAUCUGUUUCUAUUCGGAGUGUAAUUUUGUCUCUUUGAUCUUGAAUCUGGUAGACUAAAGUUUGUCUUUUAAGGAAAGUUUGGUUUAUGGUUUAGCUACAAACCUCAUUUUUCCUCUCAAAGUUCAUUUGCUCAAAUGAGCUUUUUUUUCUUUUCUUUCCUUUUCUUUUCUUUUUCUUUUUUAAACAAUUCUUUCCUUGCACAUUAAAUUACAUAAGCAAUUUGUAGUUUGAGGCAACGUGACAAUUUGCAACAAACAUCAACAGCCAAAAAACGAGCUAAGAACUGAGACCACUCUAUUCUCCAUUACUAAACCCUCAAAAGUUCCUCAGCCUUUCUGCCAGGACUGUUCUUAAUAAUCCGCUGAAAGUCGGGUAUACUUUUGCUACUAGCCCUAGCAGGCCACGCGUCAUUUUGGAGGCUGUGACUGUCAUAAGCAUGGGAAGAGUGAUAGGAACCAAAGCUUUUGUUUGAUAUUUUUAAAUCUAUGCUUUAUUUUCUUUUUGUUUUUGUUUGUUUGUUUGUUUGUUUGUUUUCGAGACAGGGCUUCUCCGUGUAGCCCUGGCUGUCCUGGAACUCACUCUGUAGACCAGCCUGGCCUUGAACUCAGAAAUCCGCCUGCUUCUGCCUCCCAAGUGCUGGGAUUAAAGGUGAGCGAGUGCCACCACUGCCCUGCUAUGCUUUAUUUUCUAAGUUUUGAAAACGUGUGAUGAAGUUCUGUAGCUGACAGACAUAGACAACCGUAGAAAGGCUUAAAAUGCACGCUGAGAAAGAAUGAAAGUUUCUCAAUUUUUUUCUACCUGAAUUGGAGCUGCUGAGAACGUGUUUCAGGAGUCCCAGUCUUUCCUCUCUGCUUGGCCCCUGAUUUGGACCACGGUGUGGGGGGAGGAGGGAAAGGGGGCGACCGAGCUGUAUAAGGGGCACACAGUGUCCCUAGGGAGGGUCAGAUAGGGAAAGAGGAUGAAGGAGAAGUUUGAAAGUGCAUAAAAAUGAAGCCAGUCUGGUGACUUCAUCUGUGACUAAGAUGUGUGAACCCUGAGAACAAACCCGGCUUUUAAAAUGGUCGAUUUUUUUAAUUUUUGGUUUUUGGUUUUUCGAGACAGGGUUUCUCUGUGCAGCCCUGGCUGUCCUGGAACUCACUCUGUAGACCAGCCUGGCCUCGAAUUCAGAAAUUUGCCUGCCUCUGCCUCCCAAGUGCUGGGAUUAAAGGCAUGGGCCACCACCGCCCAGCUAAAAUGGUCGAUUUCUUAAAUUGACACUAAAAACAAACAUUCCAACUUAUUAUAAACAUUUUUUCCAAGAACUCUAAGUGACCCCUCUUGCUUUUUGGAAGUAAGUAGGGUUCAUUUGAAUAAAUGAGUGAAUGAAUUUUGUUCUUUAAGAUAGUAAGCACGAUAUAACCGCCUUUGAAUUAACAAAAUUGAGCUUUAAUUUUAAAAAAGUUUUAUUUUAUCUGUAUGGGUGUUUUGCUUGUAUGUGUGUCUGUGCAUCAUGUGCAUGCAUAGUUCCCAAGGAGAUGACCAGAGGGCACUGGGUCCCUGAAAUCAGAGUUACAGGGAGUUCUGAGCCGUGCUGGGAAUUGAACUUGGGUCCUCUGGAAAACAGUCAGUUCUCUUAACCACUGAGCUAUCUCUCCAGCUCAAAAUUAGGUUUGGUUUUUUUGUUUUGUUUUGUUUUUUGAAACAGGGUUUCUCUAUAUAGCUCUGACUGUCCUGGGACUCACUCAAAAUUAGGUUUUUAAGCCUUACUUUUUGAAAGAAUCUCUAGAUAGUUCUGGAAGGAGGGCUAGUGGUCACAACAGAUUGCCAGGUAGGAAAGAUGAGUUGGGACAUUGAACACUCGUGUACCUCAGCCAGUCCCUACACGACAGACAGAUGCGGGUGUUCAUCACAAACCCAGUUGUGUUGUCCCCAAGUGAAACAUCCUCCAAUGGCUUCCUGUUCCUUGCCAGAUUUCCAGGUCCUGUAAAGCCUCACAGGACCUCCCCUACCCCACCCCCCUUGACUCAUUUCUAGUCAUUUCCCCCUGGUUGCUGCUGCUCUGGCCACCUCUGUGUCACCUUCCUAGCACUAAACAGCUUUUAAAAAGUUUUUGUUGAUUUUUGUUUCUUGUCUAUGAGUGUUUUGUCUGCAUGUAUGUAUAUGCACCUAUGCAUGCCCAGUGCCGAAGGAGGCCAGAAGAAAGUGUCUGAGCCCCUGAAAUUGGAGUUUCAGGAAGUUGGAGACCACUAAAGAGAGUGCUGGCAACAGAGCUCUGGUUCUCUGCAAGAGUGGUACACACCCUUAACCACCAAGCCAUCUCCCCAGUCUCCAAAACUGAUUUAAAAAUAAAUAAAUAAAUAAAUAAAUAAAUAAAUAAAUAAAUAAAUAAAUAAAUUUCUCCGAGGACCUUGACUUUGGAUAAGAUCUAUAGUUUCAUCAUAACUUAAAACACAUGGCUCUGGGUUGGACCUCAUCUAUAUGGAGGAAAUAACCCCUAGACUAUUUUUGGUACAGCAGGACACUUUCAUAGAGUAAGUUUUUGUCAACUUGACACAACCUAAACAUAUCUAGG
Molecule: long non-coding RNA, 3555 nt
Filed under: Mus musculus (house mouse)
Lineage: Eukaryota; Metazoa; Chordata; Mammalia; Rodentia; Muridae
Description: long non-coding RNA chr2:128698914-128702469
Source: RNAcentral